Molecule: ribosomal RNA, 254 nt
Filed under: uncultured bacterium
Lineage: Bacteria
Description: partial 16S ribosomal RNA
Rfam family: Bacterial small subunit ribosomal RNA
Source: RNAcentral
UACGUAGGCAGCGAGCGUUGUUCGGAGUUACUGGGCGUAAAGGGUGUGUAGGCGGUUCUUUAAGUUUGGUGUGAAAUCUCCCGGCUCAACCGGGAGGGUGCGCCGAAUACUGAGGGACUUGGAGUGCGGGAGAGGAAAGUGGAAUUCCUGGUGUAGCGGUGAAAUGCGUAGAUAUCAGGAGGAACACCAGUGGCGAAGGCGAGUCUCUGGACAUUUCCUGACGCUGAGGCACGAAAGCCAGGGGAGCAAACGGG